Non-coding RNA from Gorilla gorilla gorilla (western lowland gorilla), 147 nucleotides. It matches the Rfam family "Metazoan signal recognition particle RNA". Rfam says of the family: The signal recognition particle (SRP) is a universally conserved ribonucleoprotein. It is involved in the co-translational targeting of proteins to membranes. The eukaryotic SRP consists of a 300-nucleotide 7S RNA and six proteins: SRPs 72, 68, 54, 19, 14, and 9. Lineage: Eukaryota; Metazoa; Chordata; Mammalia; Primates; Hominidae. The record is from Rfam.
GCUGGGCGUGGUGGCGCGUGCCUGUAAUCCCAGCUACUCAGGAGGCUGAGGCAGGAGAAUCACUUGAACCCGGGGGCGGAGGUUGCAGUGAGCUGAGAUCGCGCCACUGCACUCCAGCCUGGGUGACAGAGUGAGACUCUGUCUGCA